ACAGAGGGGGCAAGCGUUGUUCGGAAUUACUGGGCGUAAAGGGCGCGUAGGCGGCCUUCUAAGUCAGACGUGAAAUCCCCGGGCUCAACCCGGGAACUGCGUCUGAUACUGGAGGGCUUGAAUCCGGGAGAGGGAUGUGGAAUUCCAGGUGUAGCGGUGAAAUGCGUAGAUAUCUGGAGGAACACCGGUGGCGAAGGCGGCAUCCUGGACCGGUAUUGACGCUGAGGCGCGAAAGCCAGGGGAGCAAACGGG
Molecule: ribosomal RNA, 252 nt
Filed under: uncultured bacterium
Lineage: Bacteria
Description: partial 16S ribosomal RNA
Rfam family: Bacterial small subunit ribosomal RNA
Source: RNAcentral